This 1355-nucleotide unclassified non-coding RNA is filed under the name uncultured Neocallimastigales. RNAcentral's name for it is "partial contains internal transcribed spacer 1, 5.8S ribosomal RNA, internal transcribed spacer 2, and large subunit ribosomal RNA". The stretch from base 593 to 1355 matches the Rfam family "Eukaryotic large subunit ribosomal RNA", at positions 1 to 621 of the family's 3401-position model. The record is from RNAcentral. Lineage: Eukaryota; Fungi; Neocallimastigomycota; Neocallimastigomycetes; Neocallimastigales.
AAAAUAAUCCUACCCUUUGUGAAUUUUGUUUGUUUGAAUAAUUUUUUUUUUUAAAAAAUUAUUGGAGUCUUUCCCUUUAGAGUUUGCUUUUGAGUUUGUAAAAGAAUUCGAAAACAUCUAAAGGGGAUGGUCAAUAAUUUUUUUGAAAAAAGACAUUUUUUAAAAUUAAACUUUUUGUAUUCAUUUGUCUAAAAAUUAUUUUUAUAAUAUAAAAACAACUUUUGACAAUGGAUCUCUUGGUUCUCGCAACGAUGAAGAACGCAGCAAAAUGCGAUAAGUAGUGUGAAUUGCAGAAUACGUGAAUCAUCGAAUCUUUGAACGCAUAUUGCACUUUUUUAGUUUACUAAAAAAGUAUGUCUGUUUGAGUAUCAGUAAAAUAUUCUCAUAAAAAUCAUUGUAUUUUUAUGGUUAUGAGUGUUUUACAACGAUACAAGUUGUUCACUUUAAAUUUUUUUUUAAUAUUGAAAUUUUUCUAAUUUUAAUAAUUAAAAUUGGAUAAAAUUUUCCCGUCAAAAGGAAUAACCUAAACAAUUUUAAACGAUUAAUUUUAGCAAAAUUUUCGUAAAAAAGGAAAAUUUUUAUUAAAAUAACUUGAUCUCAAAUCAGAUAAGAGUACCCGCUGAACUUAAGCAUAUCAAUAAGCGGAGGAAAAGAAACUAACAAGGAUUCCCUUAGUAACGGCGAGUGAAGCGGGAAGAGCUCAAAUUUGAAAUCUUCAAGGUUUUACCUUGACGAAUUGUAGUUUAAAGAAGUGUUUUCUGCUGAAGUUUUGGUAAAAGUUCUUUGGAAUAGGACAUCAUAGAGGGUGAGAAUCCCGUAUUUGACCAUUAUUUUCAGCUUUGUGAUACACUUUCAAAGAGUCGGAUUGUUUGGGAAUGCAGUCCAAAAUGGGUGGUAAAUUUCAUCUAAAGCUAAAUAUUGGCGAGAGACCGAUAGCGAACAAGUACCGUGAGGGAAAGAUGAAAAGAACUUUGAAAAGAGAGUUAAACAGUACGUGAAAUUGUCAAAAGGGAAGCGUUUGACACCAGUGUUGUUUUCUCGAAAAUCAAUUAAAAAUGGCUCGAUUUUGUAUUGUUGAGACCUUAAAAGCUCACUGUACAUUUUUCGUGCUUUUUUAAUGCACUUUUCGUUUAACAAGUCAACAUCAGUUUCUUUUGUUGUAAAAGGGUCAUUGGAAGGUGGCUUUCUUUUCGGAGAAAGUGUUUAUAGCCUUUGGCCUCUGCAAUCGGAGAGACUGAGGUCUGCAGCGUAGACUCUUCGGGGUUAGAUACAUUUGUGCUAAGUUAUAGCUUUUUAUAGACAACUUGUUGACUAUAAUUAGUCUUGUAGCUUACUCGCUUAUGCUAUUUUACCUA